Amphiprion ocellaris (clown anemonefish) is the source of this 643-nucleotide long non-coding RNA. Lineage: Eukaryota; Metazoa; Chordata; Actinopteri; Pomacentridae. The record is from Ensembl.
GCAGCCAUCGUUGUUCUCAUAGAUAUGAAUGAGUAGAUAGGACACGCCCCUUUGAGCUGCGUGCUACGGCGAGGCUAAGCUAGUGGGGGAAAAGUUUCAGUGCAUUCUGUUGAUGUAGACGGCGUGAAAACGGAAACAACAAGUAUGCCGGCUCACUGUGCUGCAUACAACUACACACUACGUCGUACGAUUGAGACAAGGAAACUUGGAAUGACUUUUCAUAGGUUUCCCAGAGACUAUGGGUUGAGGAGGAAUUGGAAGUUUGUCGGCUUAGACCUGGUGUCAUUCCAUCAGUGAUAAACUUCCCGGCUCAUCUUGGAAGAGUACGUGCCAGAAAGACCACGACCAAGCAGCCUUGAGAUCUUAGACAGCGUCUCCCUGAGGUCCCUCUCUAUCUCCCCACACAUCCACCAACCACUGGAACACAUCUCCAAAGUUCUGCCGGGCCAGCUCAGCUUCCCCUCAGAAGAAGUGCCGCCACCUGCCAGAUGAAGGAGCCUUUUGAGAGGCAGCUGACAUCGUGAUUGGACUGUACUUUGGUCUGUUCCAAUCCAGCUUCAGCUCCAGAGACGGCAGGCGGGACGAGUCAACGGAGGCCUGGUGGACGAAGACCAAAGAACUACAGACUCUUCACAACCUGCUC